This is a non-coding RNA of Pelobates cultripes (western spadefoot toad), 226 nucleotides long. Lineage: Eukaryota; Metazoa; Chordata; Amphibia; Anura; Pelobatidae. The record is from the annotation of a GenBank genome assembly.
CUGGUGUACAUCCCUAACAAGAGGUCUAAGUAACAAGAGAUUGUAACUCAUAUCUUAACAUAAAUUACCUAAAUGGCUACAUAUAUAUAUUUCCAGUUACUUCCCAAUUGUACCUGAUCCAUCUUCCCAUAAAGCCGAGUUCUGAGAUUAAAGCACAUGCCUCUAAUCCACAUCCUACAAUCACCUUGACUCAAUGGCUGAACAACCCCUGGUGCAUCUGGUGAGG